GACACGGUUCUGGAGAUCUGGAAGGGUGCAAAAUACCAGGCUGAACUGAGCAGGAUGACCCAGGCCGGGCACAGGGUCCUGCUCUCUGCCCCCUGGUACAUCAACCACAUCAGCUAUACGGCCAGGACUGGCGCGAAUCCUACGCAGUGCGGCCCCAGAAUUUCUCCGGCACAGAUGAGCAGAAGAAGUUGGUGAUUGGUGGAGAGGUCGCCAUGUGGGGUGAAUAUGCGGACGCCACCAAUCUGACCCCACGCCUGUGGCCGAGAGCCUGUGCUGCAGCGGAGAGAUUGUGGAGCAAUGAAGAAAAAACCCUGAACACUGAUCUGGCCUUCCCACGUCUGCAGGAGUUUCACUGUGAACU
This is a long non-coding RNA of Sinocyclocheilus rhinocerous, 361 nucleotides long. RefSeq lists it as uncharacterized. The record is from RefSeq and is a predicted model, not a curated record. The transcript has 3 exons. Lineage: Eukaryota; Metazoa; Chordata; Actinopteri; Cypriniformes; Cyprinidae.